Molecule: ribosomal RNA, 477 nt
Filed under: uncultured bacterium
Lineage: Bacteria
Description: bacterial SSU rRNA
Rfam family: Bacterial small subunit ribosomal RNA
Source: RNAcentral
AGAGUUUGAUCCUGGCUUAGAACGAACGCUGGCGGCACGCUUAACACAUGCAAGUCGGACGGGGUAUGGGAGCUUGCUCUUAUACUUAGUGGCGGACGGGUGAGUAACACGUGGGAACAUGUCCUGUAGUGGUGGAUAGCUCCGGGAAACUGGAGGUAAUACAGCAUAAGCUCGAGAGAGGAAAGAGAGAUCGCUAUAGGGGUGGCCCGCGGCUGAUUAGGUAGUUGGUGGGGUAAAGGCCUACCAAGCCGAGGAUCAGUAGCUGGUCUGAGAGGAUGGACAGCCACACUGAAACUGAGACACGGUUCAGACUCCUACGGGAGGCAGCAGUGGGGAAUAUUGGACAAUGGGGGCAACCCUGAUCCAGCCGAUGCCGCGUGAGUGAAGAAGGUCUUAGGAUUGUAAAGCUCUUUUGACAGGGAAGAUGAUGACGGUACCUGUAGAAUAAGCACCGGCUAACUCUGUGCCAGCCGCCGC